Molecule: long non-coding RNA, 7008 nt
Filed under: Manihot esculenta (cassava)
Lineage: Eukaryota; Viridiplantae; Streptophyta; Magnoliopsida; Malpighiales; Euphorbiaceae
Description: long non-coding RNA (MESC_LNC002692)
Source: RNAcentral
UUUUGUGUGUGACUGGGUUUUGUCAAGGAGGUGCUUUGAGGAAGAAAUUCUACAAGACAUCCUGUCCUCAAGCAGAGGAUAUUGUCAGAAGGGUCACCUGGAGCCAUGUCUUAAGCAACCCCAACUUGCCUGCAAAGCUUUUGAGAAUGCAUUUUCAUGACUGUUUUGUUAGGGUAAGACUCAUGCAUGCAUGCUUAUGUUAGUCUAAAUAUAUAGUCUUACACUUGAAGAUAAGACACUCCCUGAAAGUUUUCUUGUUGUCCAAAAAGAAAGAAUUCAUGACUAACUCACACAUUUGGAAAUUGAAUUUCAGGGCUGCGACGGCUCUAUUUUACUAAAUUCCACUGCUACUAGCACUGCGGAGAAAGAUGCAAUUCCAAAUCUAACUUUAUCAGGAUUUGAUACUAUUGAUGCCAUAAAAUCAGAGUUAGAGAAUGCAUGUCCAGGAGUUGUAUCUUGUGCUGACAUCUUGGCCUUGGCCGCGAGGGACUCAGUUUCCUUCCAAGUAUAAGUUGAAAAUGAAACCGUUAUACAAAUUCUUGCAUGUCUCAUAUAACUAAUGCAUCUAUUGCUUCUCGUGCAGUUCCAAAAACCCAUGUGGGAAGUGCUUACUGGUAGGAGAGACGGCAACGUUUCAUUAGCUUCCGAUGUCUUUUCUAACCUUCCUUCGCCCUUCUUCGACUUCUCCACUCUAUUGAAAAAUUUCAAGAACAAGGGUCUCAACGUCCAUGAUCUAGUUGUACUAUCAGGUACAUAAUAUAUAUUGUCGGUCCCAGGAAAUUACUUAGAAAAUGAUGACAUAUGUGUAUCAGGGACUAAUAAAUGCACUUGAAUUAUGUAGGCGGACACACCAUUGGAGUAGGCCACUGUAAUCUCUUCAGUAACAGACUCUACAACUUCACAGGCAAAGGCGACCAGGACCCUUCUCUGAACUCCACAUACGCAACUUUCUUGAAGACCAAAUGCCAAAGUCUCAGUGACGCGACCACCACCGUAGAGUUGGAUCCUGGAAGCUCUCUAAACUUCGAUAGCAAUUACUUCGUUAUCCUCAAGGAGAACAAGGGUUUAUUCCAAUCCGACGCAGCCCUUAUAACGGACAAGAUCGCAAGAAACAUUGCUGGAGAGUUGGUUGAUUCGGGAACUUUCUUCGUUGAGUUUGCACAGUCAAUGAAAAGGUUGGGAGCAGUUCAAGUUCUUACUGGCACUGAAGGGGAGAUCAGGAACAAGUGCAGUGUAGUCAAUGCCUAAGCGAUUCCUUCUGCAUGGCUCUGUUCUUCUUGGAUUAUUUUGUGUUGUGAUUAUUUGAAUUAUUUAACCUUUUAAGGGCCAAUGUACUUUUGAUGGGAAAAAUUGAAAAAUUCUUGCCAUGUAAAAGGAAAUAAAUAAAUUAGAUUAAAUUUCAUUUGAUACGCUUUAACAAGGUCAACUUUACCAGAUUUCAAUAGAAUUUCAUCAAAAUUUUCGAAAAUAUUAUUGAGUCGUUUUCUUUUAGUAUAAUUUUAUAGAUAAAUUUGGAUUAUAAUAUUUUUUUUUCAACAAACUUAUUAGGGUGACUAUUUCUAUGUAAACUUUAGCAAUUUUAUUCAAGUAGAAAAGCUAACAAAAAUUGAGUAAUUUAUGCUGACAAUUAAAACAUUUAUUUAGAAUAAACUACUUAUUAAUUUUUUACUUAUUCAUAUUGAUAUAAUUAUGUACUUCACUUGAAAAUAAGAUUAUAUAGUAAGAGCGAUCUGAUACUCAGUCCCAUCGAGGAAAAAGAAGAUCCAGAUGUUUCAAAUCUCAACUCUUCGUCAAGACUCGUCCUCCCAAUUAUAGGGCGAGCCUCCUCAAAAAGUUACCGUUAGUAGAUACAAUCCAGUAGAUUCCUAUUACGCCUAUAAUCGCGGGAUCCCACAUCAACUAACCAGUAUUAGUCAGAUUUCCAGGAGAUUUGACAACAAUUUCUAUUUUCUUGCAGUAUAAAAACAUAUGAACACAGAGCUAAAAUUACACAAUUCUUACACAAUUAUUGUUACAUUUAAACCAUUACAUUACACUCGCACUUAUCUUUAAUUUACUGAUUUGAAUCUCGGAGUGGCCAUCGUAGACGCCAACUACCUCACAUUUCUUUUUCUUGCAAAUUGACCAAUCGCAACACAGUUUUGUUUCAGCCACAUCAUUUGAUUCCAUUGUCGAAAAAUCUAUUGAAUUCUCUCUAUUCAAUUGGAGUAGAAACCAGUAUCUUAUUCCCAUUCUUUUAAAAAGAAAUCUUUCUUUCCUUUUCUAUUCUCUAAAAUGGCUAACAAUUCACGAGUUGUUACUAAGACUGUUGCCAACAAGAGCGUAAUAAUUUUCUCCACUCUUGGUAAUGGACAAAAUACCCUAUCAAUAGUCAAUGAAACUGAUUUGAGCAAUCUAAACAGUAAGUAGAUAAUUCAAUACUUAAAAAGGUUACAAGCCACUCUCGAGCAGUAUAAAGUUCGGGAGGAGGAAGAGGAGCCAGGAUAAGGGAGGAUGCUUCAAUCAAUACCCCAAGAACUCAAAUAGAGGCAAUUCAAUGCAGUCCAAGGAGAAGCCAAAGCUGGAGGAAGAGGAGUCGUCGAACGAGACUCCAAAGGAUAUCGACUGGAAAGCUGAUACUUAAUAAAAAUUCUUUUUUCUAAGUUAUUGUUUCCAUAGCCACGAGGAGGGUAUCCUCCAUGUGAGUCAUAAGGCGAGGGUAAAUACCAUAAAAAAGUUUAAAAUUAUUUUAUAGAAAAAUAUAGAAGCUGCUAGAUAUUUGGUCGAGUUUUAACCCUCUAAUAAUUUUUUAAAGAGAUUAUUUAAAUCUUAUUUGAUGAUGGUUGGAUGAUUGUUAUAAAUGAGUACAGGGCAUGUAAAUACUCAAUGAAAAUAAUGAUAGGAUAUGGGGAAAAAUAUUUUUCAUUAAAAUCAUAGAAGGCCAAUCGAAAUGUGCUAUAUGAUCGGAUCGUGAAGACAAUUGUCACUUUCGAAUAUGAAGAAUCGAAUAUCAGCGGGGGACUUCUGAUAUAACAUAAUAAUCACCCAAAAUAGACCAUAUGCUGGCACUCGAAGACAGAGUCACGUGGCAAGAGUCUGAUCAAAUGAUAUUCGAUCAUAUCAAGGGAAAAAAAAGACUCGGACGCUUCAGAUCUCAGCUUUUCGUCAAGACUCUCCCUCCCAACUAUAGGGCGAGACUCCACAAAAAGUUACCGUUAACAUAUACAAUCUAGGAGAUCCUCAUUACACCUAUAAUUGUAGAAUUUCAUAUCCACUAGUUGGUACUAGUUGAAUUUCUAAGAGAUUUGAUAAUCAUUUCCAUUUUCUUACGGUAUAAAAGCAAAUGAAUACAGAAAUCAAAGUGCAGAAUUCUUACACAAUUACUAUUAAAUUCAAAAUAUUAUACUUACCCUUAUUUUCAAUUUACUUAUUUAAGUAUCGGAUUGACUGUCAUAAACUCCAAUCACUUUAUAUAUUAUUUUUUACAAAUUAAUCAAUUACAGUAUUAUUUUAUUUCAGUCACAUCACAUAUGAAUGUUGAUUUUUUUUUCAAGAUUAAUAGUAAAAAAAUUUUAAAAUUUUUUAUUUUUAAUGGAUGUAUCCUAAACUUUUCUUUAAUAAAUAAACUUUUUACGCGGUUUAACUUUGAGAGUAAAUAUAUUUGUAAAAAUUAUCCAUCUUAAUUUUUUUAUUAAUAAAAAAAAUAAUAUUAUAUCUGUUAAAAAUACAAAAGAUAUAAUAAUAAUAAAAUCUUUUUAUUUUAAAUAUAUUCUUGAAGAUUAUUAGAUAAAAUAACUCAAAUAUUUAUGAAAAAUUAUAUUUCUAUCAUAAAAUUUAUUUUUUAGUCAAUAAAACUAAAAAUUUUAAAUUAGUCAUACCAAUUCAUUACAAUAAAUUUAAAAGUUAACAGAUAAAUUGAUUCAAAAAAAAAAGUUAACAGAAAUUAUAAUAUGCUUAUUAAAGUUUUAUUUGAUAAAAAUAUAAUUUUAAAAAAUAAAAAAAAAUCAAAAUUAUACUUUUAUAAUUAUAUCCUAUAUUUUUAUAUUUUAAUAGAUUUAUCCUAUCAUUAACUAUAAUAAUGUUUGUAAUUAAAAGAGUAAAAAUAAAUUAUAGAACAUAGUACAAGGGAUAUUUGUUAAAAAAAAAAAUUAGAGUACAUCCAUUAAUUUUUUGACAUUAACCCCAUUUUUUUUUAAUACUGGGGCCGUUCUUGUUUAAACUUGUUUUAUCUAACCAAUGGAGGAUUAAUGGUAAUUGAAGGGAUUAAUUGAAAUAGUCCGGCUCAAACUGAUCCAAAUAAUUUUUGGACUAGUUUUUCAUUUGAACCAAAAUGGUUAACCCAAAUUAUUUAGUAAUUUUGUGCUAGCUAUUAUAUACAAUUCGAAAUUACCGUAUUCCGCCGAUGUGAAACUAUUGCAACUGAAUCGGAUAUAAUUACUAAUCAGGACCGGACCUUUAGGUAUUGUGGUUCGCUAGUACUUCGGGCGACUCUACCUUUUCUCAUACAUGUAGCCCUUUCUUCGCAGGUCCACUAGAUCCGCACAAUGUCUGAUCCAGGGUGGCUCUGAUACCAAUUGAAAUAGUUCGGCACAAACUGACACAAAUAACUUUUAAACCCACUUUCCACUUGACCUGUUUAGUAGUUUCGUGCUAACUAUUAUAUACAAUUCGGAAUCGGCAAAGUAGGACCAAGCCAAGUUAUUUAGUAGUUUCGUGCUAGCUAUUAUAUAUAAUUCGAAAUAGCCGUAUUCCACCGAUGUGGGACGAUUCCCCAAAUUAUUUAAUAGUUUCGUACUAACUAUUAUAUAUAAUUUGAAAUUGUCGUAUUCUACUGAUGUGGGACGAUUUUUCAAGUUAGCAGGUGAACGUCACACUCUCCCCUGUUAAAUUUGCAACGUCCUCAUUACAACUGAAUCGGAUACAAUUGCUAAACAUGAUCGAACUCUUAAAUAUUAUGAUUCGCCAGUACUUCGGACAGCUCCAUCUCGUCUCACACGAUUCUUUCCUCGCAGGUCCACUAACUCCAUACAAUUUAUUUGAUCCAGAGUGGUUUUAAUAUCAAUUGAAAUAGGCCGGUCCAAACUGGUCCAAAUAACUUUUGAACCCACUUUUUAAUUGGUCCAAAAUUAUUAACUCAAGUUAUUUAAUAGUUUCGUGCUAAUUAUUAUAUACAAUUCAGAAUUGUUAUAUCAAAAUGAUUAAUUCAAGACUACUUAUUAUAUAUCAUUCGGAAUUGUAGCAUGGGACGAUUUCUGGAGUAGCAGGUGAAUGAGGCAUUAAUAUAUACAAUUAUAAAUUUGAAUUAAUUCUUAAUUUGUUUUAUCUAACCAUUCUAAGAGGGACACUUCUAUACUUGAAUGCUGUGCUUCCUGCUUCCUAAUUAAAUUAAAUUAAAGAAAAGGUUGACAAAGUAUAAGUGUCUAAAACUUGACAAUUUUGGGUGUCUAUUAAUUGCAAAAGUCAAGUAAACAGAUGAUCACAGAAAAACAAAAUACAAUUAGGUGAAGUUUAGAUUUAAAUAAUAAAUAUGAUUCCAAACUAUUAAUUAUUGAAUGGGUAGUUGCGAAAUUGGCUGCAUGAUUACUUGCAUGAACCAUGCAUCCCCUACAUUCUCCCUGGUCCUAGAAAUUGUAAAGCUUACUCGGAGAUUAUCAUUAUUCUCUAAUAUUAUAAUAAAAUUAUUCAUCUUGUACUAUAUUAUGAAGAAACUACAAAAAUUAAUGAGGUGAACGACAGCUAUCUCUACUCAUUUAGCUCGAUCGGCGACUGAAAAAGAAGAAUAAGGAAGCCUGAGGCGCUAAUCCUGCUGUACAGCGCAGACAAGAAGCCAUCAUCAAGAACAGAAAGCAGAUAAGAAUAAUAGAAACAGAUGGUGUAAUUAACAAAUAUUGGUCUCCUCUGCCUGCCAGGUUUCUUUGAGCCCAUAUUUGAUGGCAUGUGUUUAGGGAAAUUGUUGAAGCUAACCAUUGCACUUCUCCACUUUGACCUUAUCACUUCAAUCAAAGCCAAAUCAUUGGAACACCAAAUUCACCAAAGCCCAUUACGGCUACUCAUCUCAUUAAUUAGGUGCAACCAUAAAAUAAAAACCAUUAGAAAAUCAUAGUGGCCAUGUGCAAGAGAGCAUAAUAAAUGUUUAUAAUAUAGGGCAUUUAUCCAACUCCUCCUGAUGCUUUCAAUACUUCUAUAUGUCUCUGCAAAUUUGACUUUUGUUAAUUCUUUGUGUCUUCAGAACUAAAACAAUAACAAAUAUAAUCCUUAAUAAGGCAGUUGUUAAGCAUUUGGUAGGCAUAGAAACAGCGGUUCAUUCGCUGAUUUCUUUACAAACUAAACAUUAAAGUUUGACCUGAAGUGGAUUAUGAUAAUAUUGUGUGCUCAAGGCCAUGCCAACUAACUAAUCAGACCAUGGAUGAAGCUUUUCAACUUUUUAAAUAAUUAAUUUGAGCAGAAUGCAUGUCAUCAGUUUAGAAAAAAAUAGAUGGGUUGUGCAGCAUACAUGAAAUUUUAAAAACAAGAAACCAAGUUUCAACUUAAACCUCCAUUAAAUUAUAUCUCCAAUAUCUGGACUUCCGACAAAAAGAUUCCAUUACACCAGUAUAAAAGGAACAAGGAGCUGCUGUACACUGCAUUGUAGACAUUUACUUGGAAUCACAUUUCUUUUCGUAUACUAGAAGAAGCUGAAUUGAGAAAUAUAUUCACCCAAAAGUCUCAAACAUGAAGACCCAUUUUCUCUUUGUAUGUGUUAUUGUUUUGAGUGUGAUUGGGGUUUGUCAAGGAGGUGCUCUGAGGAAGAAAUUCUACAAGACAUCAUGUCCUCAAGCAGAGGAUAUUGUCAGAAGGAUCACCUGGAGCCAUGUCUUAAGCAACCCUAACUUGCCUGCAAAGCUUUUGAGAAUGCAUUUUCAUGACUGUUUUGUUAGGGUAAGACUCAUGCAUGCAUGCUUAUGUUAGUCUAAAUAUAUAGUCUUACACUUGAAGAUUAAGAUGCUCCCUCAAAGUUUUCUUGUUUCCAAAAAGAAAGAAUUCAUGACU